GAACUGCGAUAAGUAAUGUGAAUUGCAGAAUUCAGUGAAUCAUCGAGUCUUUGAACGCACAUUGCGCCCCCUGGCAUCCCGGGGGGCAUGCCUGUCCGAGCGUCAUUGCUGCCCUCAAGCCCGGCUUGUGUGUUGGGUCGUCGUCCCCCCCGGGGGACGGGCCCGAAAGGCAGCGGCGGCACCGUGUCCGGUCCUCGAGCGUAUGGGGCUUUGUCACCCGCUCGAUUAGGGCCGGCCGGGCGCCAGCCGGCGUCUCCAACCUUAUUUUUCUCAGGUUGACCUCGGAUCAGGUAGGGAUACCCGCUGAACUUAAGC
This 315-nucleotide unclassified non-coding RNA is filed under the name plant metagenome. RNAcentral's name for it is "partial contains 5.8S ribosomal RNA, internal transcribed spacer 2, and large subunit ribosomal RNA". The stretch from base 1 to 105 matches the Rfam family "5.8S ribosomal RNA", at positions 50 to 154 of the family's 154-position model. The record is from RNAcentral.